Molecule: ribosomal RNA, 207 nt
Filed under: uncultured bacterium
Lineage: Bacteria
Description: partial 16S ribosomal RNA
Rfam family: Bacterial small subunit ribosomal RNA
Source: RNAcentral
CGCGUAGGCGGCUUGGCAAGUCCGGGGUGAAAGCCCCCAGCUCAACUGGGGAAGUGCCUUGGAUACUGCCGAGCUCGAGCGAGAUAGGGGUCGUGGGAACUUCCGGUGGAGCGGUGAAAUGCGUUGAUAUCGGAAGGAACGCCGGUGGCGAAAGCGCACGACUGGAUCUCUUCUGACGCUGAGGCGCGAAAGCGUGGGGAGCAAACA